AAUACGGAGGGGGCUAGCGUUGUUCGGAAUUACUGGGCGUAAAGCGCACGUAGGCGGCUUUGUAAGUUAGAGGUGAAAGCCCGGGGCUCAACUCCGGAAUUGCCUUUAAGACUGCAUCGCUAGAACGUCGGAGAGGUAAGUGGAAUUCCGAGUGUAGAGGUGAAAUUCGUAGAUAUUCGGAAGAACACCAGUGGCGAAGGCGACUUACUGGACGACUGUUGACGCUGAGGUGCGAAAGCGUGGGGAGCAAACAGGA
RNAcentral lists this ribosomal RNA (256 nucleotides) under uncultured prokaryote. RNAcentral's name for it is "partial 16S ribosomal RNA". It matches the Rfam family "Bacterial small subunit ribosomal RNA", at positions 522 to 777 of the family's 1533-position model. The record is from RNAcentral.